GUGAGAGUCGCCGAAAGCGUGUGUCGGAAGUGAGGUUCCAGCAUAGAAAAUUAUUACUCAACACCAUGUGUCGGAAUGUGCAUCAGAAAUCGGCUCUCAACUAGCUUUCCGAACAGCUAUGCAGACUCAUCAUCGAUCACUCGAAUGACUUCAUGGAAAAUGGACUAGAUAUUUGUUGUACGAGAAAUCAACCGAAAAUAUGAAAGAUCCCGGAUCCUCUAAUUACCCUGGUAGAAAUAAUGAUAUCAACCUUCUACAACUAAAAAGGACUGGUACAGCUAGCACAAUUUCAAGCGAUACAAAUAAUGGUAUCGGUGUUUCGUCCUUAAUAGACAGGAUGAAAUCAGAAAAUCUUCCUGCUACACUACAGAUGAAACCCAAUCAUUGGGGGAUUGACUUAUUUCUGUAUGGCAUAUCGCAUUGGAUCUAACUUUGGAUUAUCAUCAAACAAAAAAUCUCGAAAAACAUUAAAAGUCAUUACAUCCACCCACAAAAUUCAGCUUCAUAAGCUGCAGCGUACUCGAAAUUCAGAACAGUCGAUAACAUCGUGUACCAUUUCAAAAAUGGCAAACAUCAUCAAAGGCAACAAAGGAACACUAAAGAUCCAAGCGAUGCACAAAAUUUGAACGCCCAUCUCCAAAAUGUCUCUGAACGAUUCCCUGACUGAUCGAAACAAGAAACGAUCCAAUGGAUCUAUAGAAACAUUUGCCAUCAUUUAACGACCCAGAACUGCAGCCGUCUUAUAAGGAAAAUCUACUACAAUUGAUCAUCUACACGGAUUUUGAUGACGAAGCUAAGGAAGUAUGGCGGCCAGCAGAUCAAUUAGUCUUGGCUACAUCAUUCUAAGGAAGAAUGUGGGGCUUGGUUACAUCAUUGGACUACUACUAAUCAUCGUUAUUCAUCAGCAUCGUUGAACUCAUCCUUGAGGUAAAUGGUAUCAACAAAACUAAGAUAAGUUAGCUAAUAAGGGAGGGUUUCAAAAUUGUAUCAAAAUUCAAAAUUGUAGCUAAUAAGGGAGGGUUUUAAAUGAAUGAUCAUCAAAUCGAAAACAGUCAUAUUCACCGUCCAAGCCGUCACGAGUAUCUAAAUUGUAUUGGUGUUGACAUUUAAAACAGUUGCCACAAUCAUGCAGAGCAUACUAAGGAAGAAUGUGGGAAUCAAUUAAAAGACUGGACGCAUAAUGACAGAUGCCAGUUGCUUUAUGCUGGUUGGUUCUAUAUGACUUAUUCGAUCAUUGCACCGACUUCAAACGUUUCACCGAGGGUUCACGGAACCAGAGCGUAAUAUUGAUAGAUAAAAAUGUAUCAUUGAGAAUUUUAUAUAAACUUAUAUACGGUGCAUCAUUACUUGAAUGAAUGCAUGAAGCCAUAAGGAAUACUGGAAUUAUUCAUGGUAUUGCAGGUGACGUUCCAUUGAUUAUAUACAGAACAUUCACCAAUUUGGGAGAUUUGAUAAUUUCUGAAAAAAUAGAAGAGAAGUGUUAAGGCAAGAUAAAGAUAUUUACCAUUGAGUCGUUCUGGAGAAACAAACGCUACGAAAGCAUAUUGAUACAAUUUUUGUUCUUGGCUACUCGCUCCAUCUUGCUAUUAGUGAGGAAGAUUGGAAAAAGUAGAAUUGUUACCUUCAGCUAAUCCAAAAGCUUUCAAUGAUAGACAUAGCAUCUAUUGGUAUUUUACAAUGAUUUUGAUUGCAAUGAACACGGCGUCUCUGAAGAAUACGAACUUCAAAGAUGGCUUUAUUGUAAUUGGCUGGUGAAUAACUAUUCAAAUAAACUUCAAUUCAUUGAUGAAGUCAUAAGACAUAAAAAAAUUUAAAAAUAUUAAAGCACAAUAGCUACAGUUCUACAGGGGGGUUCUAAUAAACAGUGCAAGAAAGUAGAGGAAUCACCAUUUUGAAUCAAUCAAGCAUCUCGUAAAGCAUCUAACAUACACGAACAGGUUGAAAAUGAAAAGCUUCUGGAAGUGCAGGCAUGCUUUAUUCGGUUUGGAGCAACACUGCUAUCAGACUUAUUGGCUCUACAGAGUAAAGAUCUUGCUUGUACAUUAUUUCUCAAUGAUUCGGAUUUCACCAACGACUCAGACACUGUAGAGGAAGUUCUUUGUUGCAUCGAACAACUCAUCUAUUUGAUUAUUAUAUAUCAUGAAGCGUUCCAAGCGGUUCAAAGUAUUAUUCAAAAGUGGGAAAAAGAUAUACUUAAAUAAUCCACAAAACAGGUGUUUCUUAUCAAGAAUACAAGCAACAUCCCAAGCGAUCUUAGUGGUUAUCGCAUUUGUGAUCUAACAGGCGAAUCAUAGAAGCUGAUCCUCAAUGAAGGCAUUCCUUUAUGCACAACGACCAUUUCUCCAAGCUACUUUUUCAAAACAAUUUUCAAGAAUAUUCUAUCGAAGAAGUUAUCAAACUGUUAGACUUGGGAAGGCAGAGAGGGGCUGAUAACAAAAUUGUGAAGAAUCAUCAACAAAUUCCUAACAAUUAUGUCCAACGUUAUUGAGUAGUCGAGGCAAUGACAAUUAGAACAGUUAAUUUAGGCCAGUCUUAAGAUUAUAGAGUGGUCACAGUCAUACAAAACAUGCCUGAUUUGCAAUAAAAAUAAAUCAGCAUUGAUAAAAUAAUCGAACGCAUAAUGAAACACAUAGAUUCCAAUACAAUUUUUCCUGAGGCUAAUAGUUUAGGAGACAAGAAUGAACCUAUCGUUGAUAACGAAGCAGAAACGGUGUUUAUAUUGUUGGAAGAAACGGUAUUUGGAAAGUCGACGAGUCUCAUGUGGUUGGCGUGGUAUUUGCGGAAACAAAAUUCUAAAUCCUGGAUUGUUCGAUGCAGUCUACCUGAUUAUUGCACCGAUUUCAAACACAUCAUUGAUGGUUCACGGAACCAAGUCGGAGUGUCCAUAGAUGAAAAUGAAGCAUUGGGAAUGUUGUAUGAGCUGAUUCGUGUAUCGCUCAUUGAGAUUUGUAGUAGCUGUCAAUCUUCGUUUAGGUUGGUUGCUUGAAAAUGUUCGGAGUGCUUAAUUCUUCCUGAUCGUUUCCCAAUGUGGAAUGAGGAACUGACGAUACAUCGUGGUUUUCCCCCCCAAAAAAUCGCAAUUAAACUGCGGAUAUUUGUAACGAAGUUCAAAUCAGGUUUGAUGGUGUUGCUUUUAAACGGAUUUGAUGAAAUCGCGACUCAUUACAAGGAGGUAGUGUUGAAGUUUCUUCCUCGGUUUGUAUGGAAUUUGAUGGAGUGAGGAAAUUGUAGCUCGCCAGUCGUCCUUACACUUUUAAAAAGCAAUGGAAAGAGGCAUUCAAAAAGAUGGUUUAUUUCCGAUUAAAAUAUGUUUCCCUGCAAGGUAAAGGGUCUAUGCUGUAUAAGAUGAUAAAAUUGAAAAUGCAUAAUGAACGCAUUGGCGAUAAUGAAGCAUUUUAUUUCCGUAACAUAUUAUGUGUUCCGUUACGUUGGAAUCUACAUGAAAUGAGUGGUAUUGCAUUGAACCUUAUGAUGCCAGUCGAUAUUCUUGUAAGACUUGUUGAUCAGUACAUAGCGUUUUCUUCAAAAAACGCUCAAUUAAGAGCAAUUUGAGAAAAUGAAAGACAUAUCCAAGUCAUCGUUUACUGUGGAAUCGUUUGUAGAAAUUCAAUUCCAUUUGACAUAUUAAAAAUUAUGAGUGUGUUCUUACGCGGGUAAUAAUCCAAUUUAGAAUGCUGUUCAUGGUAAAAAAAUGCAAAAAGUAAAACGGUAACAUUAAAUAAUGGCACUAUUGGUGUUAUUUGACAAAAAUGAGUUGGACGUUAUCUUAGCAGAUACAAAGAAACGUGAGUCGUAUAAUUACUUGAACAAAAUACAUGAACCCAUAGAGAAAACUGGAAUUAUUCAUGGUAUCCAAGACGAAUUUCCAAUGCUUAUAGAUCGAACAUUUGAUGAAUGUUUGGCUGGUUGAUGGCUUAUCAUGUGUCAAAUAGAAUAGAACCGUCAAGGCAAGAUAAAGCUAUCUAGUUUAGAAUCGUGCUAGAAGCGACAAACACAACGAAAGCAAUUGUGUCAAUAAUUCAUCGCCAACACCAUUCUCCUCAUCUUCCUAUUAUGGAGGAAGUGAGAAAAAGUAAAAUUAUUCUAUAUAGCUAACCCAAAUGCUUUAAACGGGAGAGAUACUAGGUGUAGAACAUUAUUAUAUCUAUUGGUAUCUGACACGGAAUCUAACGAAAUCCGAAUCUAACGAAUCAUAUAUACUAAACGACAAAGCAAAGUUAUUUGGUUAAACCACUUUAGAUUGCGUAUUACGUGAAGAUAAGUCUAAAUUUAUACUAUUUCUUUUGCAUCAUAGAAGUCUAAUCACUAUUGAUGUACUUUACAAACAGGUAAUUUUAGUUGGACAUGUUAAUGUUCAUUUAGUCAUUAAUAAAUAUGUUACGGAAUACCUAAGCCGAAAAGUAAUCGAUGACGAAUCGCACAAUGUCUGAACAGACAAUUCGUGUGAUAGUCUGUAGAGACUGUGCGAUUGCUUUCCGGCUUAGAUAUUCCAUAACAUAUUUAUCAAAUGCUUCAAAAGCUACAUGAACAUUAACAUGCCCAACUAAAACUACCUGUUCGUAAAGUACUUCUACAUUGAUUAGGCUUCCAUGAUGCGAAAGAAAUAAAAAAUAUCUAGACUUAUCUUCACGGAAUGCGCAAUCCAACCAAAUAACUUUGUUUUGUCGUUUAUUAGAUGUGAUUUGAUAGAUUCGGUCAGAUAUCCCGUCAGAAUUCGUGUCAGAUACCAAUAGAGGGAAUAAAGUUCUGCACCUAUCAUCUCUCCCAUUGAAAGCCUUUGGAGUAACUGAAGGAAAUAGUUAUACUUUUUCGAAUCUUCUUCAAUAAUAGCAAAAUGAAAAGGAUAGUGUUGGGCAUGAAUUGUGUCAAUAUGCUUUCGUAGUGUUUGUUGCUUCCAGAACGACUCUAAACUAGAGAUCAUUGUCCUGCCUUAACGCUUUUACUCGUCACAUGACAAGUCAGCAACCAGCCAAACAUUCAUGGAAUGCUCGACCGGUAAACAUUGGAAACUCGUCUUGGAUAUCAUGAAUAAUUCCAGUUUUCUCUAUGGCUUCAUGUAUUUCGUUCAUGCAAUUAUACGACUCACUUAUCUCUGUAUGCGAUAAGAUAACGUCCAACUCACUUUUUGUCAAAUAACACCCAUAAUGCCAUUAUUACAUGUUAUCGUUUCACUUUUACUAUCUCAUUACCAUAAUGCUUUUGGAAUAGGAUUAUUAACGGUGUUUAUAUUCACUCUAAAUUUGUAAAAUGUCAGAUGAAGUAACGUUUCCAAAAGCAAUUACACAGUGAACGAUGGCUUGGAUAUGGCUUCCAUUAUCUCAAAUUUCUCUCUAUGUACUGAUCAUCAGGUCUUAUAAGAAUAUCCACUGCCAUCAUAAGGUUCAAUGGAAUAUCACUCAUUUUAUCUAGAUCCCAAAGAAGCGAAACUUGCAAUACGUUAUAGAAAUCGUAAACCCCAUUAUCGCCAAUGCGUCCAUUAUCCAUUUUUAAUUUCAUCAUCUUAUACAUCAUAGACCCUUUAUCAUGCAGGGAAACAUUUUUUAAUCGGAAAUACAUCAACUAUUUGAAUGCCUUUUCGAAUUGGUUUUUGAAAGUGUAAGGACGACUGGUGAGAUACAAUUUCCUUACUCCAUUAAAUUGUGCAAACAGAGAGAGAAACUUCAAUACUACCUCCUUAUAAUGAGGCGCGAUUUCAUCGAAUCCGUCCAACAGCAACACCAACUUACUUAUUUUGAACAUUGCUACGAAUAUUCGCAUAUAAAUUGUGUUGUUGCGGGAUAAACAAAGAUGUUUUAUCAGCGAUUUGUUCACAAUGACGAAUCGAUCAGAAAGAAUUAAGUAUUUUGAACAAUUCCAACCAGUCAACCUCACGAAUCAUAGAUCGCUGCUACAAGUAUCAAUAAGCGAUAAACGAAUCAGCUUAUACAACAAUCCUAUUGUUACAUUUUCCAUUUUGAACAUUUCCUCUUGGUCCCGUGUCCCAUUAUAGAAGCGUUUGAAUUCGGUACAAUAAUCAGAUAGAUUGCAUCGAACAAUCCAGGAUUUAGGAUCCAGUGUCUGUGAUAGCCAUGUGCAACAUGUGAAACUAGUCGACUUUCCAAAUCCCGCUUCUCCCAACAAUAUCAACACCGUUUCUGCUUCGUUACCAACGAUAGGUUCAUACUUGUCUCCUAAACUGUUUGCCUCAGGGGAAAUUGUAUUGGAAUCUGUGUGUUUCAUUAUGCGUUCGAUUAUUUUAUCAAUGCUGAUUUAUUUUUAUUGGAAAUCAGGCAUGUUCUGUAUGACUGUGACCAUUUUCUAAUCUUAAGACCGAUCUAGAUUUUCUAUUUUAUAUAUUAUUGUCUUGUCUACACAAUAACGUUGAACAUAAAUGUUUACAGUUUGCCGAUGAUUUUUCAAGAUUUUAAUUUCGGUCCUUUUUUGCCUUCCCUAGUCUAACAAUUUGAUAACUUCUUCGAUAGAAAGCUCUGGAAAAUUGUUUUGAAAAAAUAGGUUGGAGAAAUGGUUGUUGUGCAUAAAGGAAUGUCUUCAUUGAGGAUCAGCUUCCAUGAUUCUUCUGUUAAAUCACAAAUGCGAAAACCGCUAAGAUCGCUUGGGAUGUUGCUUGUUUUCUUGAUAAGAAACACCUGUUUUGUGGAUUGUUUUAGUAUAUCUUUUUCCCAUUUUUGAAUAAUACUUUGAACUGCUUUGAACGCUUCAUGAUAUAUAAUAAUCAAAUAGAUGGGAUGUUCGAUGCAACAAAGAACUUCCUCUACAGUGUCUGAGUCGUUGGUGAAAUCCGAAUCAUUGAGAAAUAAUGUACAAGCAAGACCUUUACUCUGUACAGCCAAUAAGUCUGAUAGUAGUGUUGCUCCAAACUGGAUAUCGCAGGGCCAAAACUUCCAGGAGUUUUUCAGUUUCAACCUGUUCGCACCAAACUGAUAAGUUUUUCAAAAUGAAAACCUGUUCGUGUAUGUCAGAUGUAUAUCAGAGCUGCUGGGCUGACUUGAAAUGGAGAUCUCAAUGCUCUCUAGUGAUGUUUCUUUGAUCUAUUGAACUUUAUAUGUGCUAAGGUGUUUUUAAUAUUUUUAGAUUUUUUUGGGUAUCAGGUGAAUUCAAUGGCUUGGUUCAAUAAAACAUUCGUCUUUGUAAUUUUUAUUCAUUAACAUGCAUAAAAGAGUGACUUUACUUUAAUGUUCACUACAGAAAAUUCUAUGAUGCGCUAACACCAAAUCACUUUCCUUGCAUUGUCGAUAGAUAGCAUAGAUUAUAAUCAUGCAAUGGACCAAGAAUUAGUCAGCAGGUUUAUCCGUGCUUUGCCUGCAUUCCUGUAGAGAAACCAAUAAAACCUAAACGAGAAUAAAAUGUUGAUAUAAUAUUAUUUGUUACAC
This is a long non-coding RNA of Anopheles darlingi, 7370 nucleotides long. RefSeq lists it as uncharacterized. NCBI's taxonomy places the organism in Eukaryota, Metazoa, Arthropoda, Insecta, Diptera, Culicidae. The record is from RefSeq and is a predicted model, not a curated record. The transcript is spliced from 2 exons.